AUGUAUGUAUAUGUGUGUGUGUGUGUGUGUGUGUGUGUGUGUAUAAUACAUACGCACACACACACACACACAUAUAUAUAAUUUUUUUA
RNAcentral lists this microRNA precursor (89 nucleotides) under Myotis lucifugus (little brown bat). RNAcentral's name for it is "miRNA (ENSMLUG00000027912.1)". Lineage: Eukaryota; Metazoa; Chordata; Mammalia; Chiroptera; Vespertilionidae. The record is from RNAcentral.